GUGAACGCUGGCGGUAGGCCUAACACAUGCAAGUCGAACGGCAGCACAGUAAGAGCUUGCUCUUCCGGGUGGCGAGUGGCGGACGGGUGAGGAAUACAUCGGAAUCUACUUUUUCGUGGGGGAUAACGUAGGGAAACUUACGCUAAUACCGCAUACGACCUACGGGUGAAAGCAGGGGAUCUUCGGACCUUGCGCGAUUGAAUGAGCCGAUGUCGGAUUAGCUAGUUGGCGGGGUAAAGGCCCACCAAGGCGACGAUCCGUAGCUGGUCUGAGAGGAUGAUCAGCCACACUGGAACUGAGACACGGUCCAGACUCCUACGGGAGGCAGCAGUGGGGAAUAUUGGACAAUGGGCGCAAGCCUGAUCCAGCCAUACCGCGUGGGUGAAGAAGGCCUUCGGGUUGUAAAGCCCUUUUGUUGGGAAAGAAAAGCAGCAGGUUAAUACCCCGCUGCUCUGACGGUACCCAAAGAAUAAGCACCGGCUAACUUCGUG
This 491-nucleotide ribosomal RNA is filed under the name uncultured bacterium. RNAcentral's name for it is "partial 16S ribosomal RNA". It matches the Rfam family "Bacterial small subunit ribosomal RNA", at positions 29 to 507 of the family's 1533-position model. The record is from RNAcentral.